This 494-nucleotide ribosomal RNA is filed under the name uncultured bacterium. RNAcentral's name for it is "bacterial SSU rRNA". It matches the Rfam family "Bacterial small subunit ribosomal RNA", at positions 28 to 507 of the family's 1533-position model. The record is from RNAcentral.
GAUGAACGCUAGCGGCAGGCUUAAUACAUGCAAGUUGAGGGGCAGCAUGAUAUACGCGAGUAUAUUGAUGGCGACCGGCGGACGGGUGAGUAAUAGGUAGGAGACCUACCUCAUACAGGGGGAUAGCAUAGAGAAAUCUGUGGUAAUACCCCAUGAGGUUAUAUGAAUAGAGGCAUAUAAUCAAAGCAUAAGCGAUUAUGCGGUAUGAGAGGGGCCUACUGACCAUUAGCUAGUUGGUGAGGUAAGGGCUCACCAAGGCGAAGAUGGUUAGGGGUUUUGAGAGAGAGACCCCCCACAUUGGAACUGAGAGACGGUCCAGACUCCUACGGGAGGCAGCAGUAGGGAAUAUUGGGCAAUGGGCGAAAGCCUGACCCAGCCAUGCCGCGUGAAGGAAGGCGGCCUUAUGGGUUGUAAACUUCUUUACUACGCGAAUAGAGGUUAGUACGAGAUACUAAUAGGAAGGUAGUGUAGUAAAAGCACCGGCUAACUCCGUG